AGUUUGAUCCUGGCUCAGAUUGAACGCUGGCGGCAUGCCUUACACAUGCAAGUCGAACGGCAGCGGGCCUUCGGGUGCCGGCGAGUGGCGAACGGGUGAGUAAUGCAUCGGAACGUGCCAUUGAGUGGGGGAUAACGUAGCGAAAGUUACGCUAAUACCGCAUAUUCUGUGAGCAGGAAAGCAGGGGACCGCAAGGCCUUGCGCUCUUUGAGCGGCCGAUGUCAGAUUAGCUAGUUGGUGAGGUAACGGCUUACCAAGGCGACGAUCUGUAGCGGGUCUGAGAGGAUGAUCCGCCACACUGGAACUGAGACACGGUCCAGACUCCUAUGGGAGGCAGCAGUGGGGAAUUUUGGACAAUGGGGGCAACCCUGAUCCAGCCAUGCCGCGUGAGUGAAGAAGGCCUUCGGGUUGUAAAGCUCUUUCGGCCGGGAAGAAAUCGCAUGGGUUAAUACCCUGUGCGGAUGACGGUACCGGCAUAAGAAGCACCGGCUAACUACGUG
This 500-nucleotide ribosomal RNA is filed under the name uncultured bacterium. Its description in RNAcentral is "bacterial SSU rRNA". It matches the Rfam family "Bacterial small subunit ribosomal RNA", at positions 10 to 507 of the family's 1533-position model. The record is from RNAcentral.